Molecule: unclassified non-coding RNA, 339 nt
Filed under: soil metagenome
Description: partial contains 5.8S ribosomal RNA, internal transcribed spacer 2, and large subunit ribosomal RNA
Rfam family: 5.8S ribosomal RNA (bases 1-120)
Source: RNAcentral
GAUGAAGGACGCAGCGAAAUGCGAUAACUAAUGUGAAUUGCAGAAUUCAGUGAAUCAUCGAGUCUUUGAACGCACAUUGCGCCCCCUGGUAUUCCGGGGGGCAUGCCUGUCCGAGCGUCAUUGCUGCCCUCAAGCACGGCUUGUGUGUUGGGCUCCGUCCCCCCGGGGACGGGCCCGAAAGGCAGCGGCGGCACCGAGUCCGGUCCUCGAGCGUAUGGGGCUUUGUCACCCGCUCUGUAGGCCCGGCCGGCGCCAGCCGACAACCCAUCAUCCUUUUCAGGUUGACCUCGGAUCAGGUAGGGAUACCCGCUGAACUUAAGCAUAUCAAUAAGCGGAGGA